This 402-nucleotide ribosomal RNA is filed under the name uncultured bacterium. RNAcentral's name for it is "bacterial SSU rRNA". It matches the Rfam family "Bacterial small subunit ribosomal RNA", at positions 355 to 774 of the family's 1533-position model. The record is from RNAcentral.
UGGGGAAUCUUGCGCAAUGGGCGAAAGCCUGACGCAGCAACGCCGCGUGCGGGAUGAAGGCUCUCGGGUCGUAAACCGCUUUCAGCAGGGACGAAAAUGACGGUACCUGCAGAAGAAGCUCCGGCUAACUACGUGCCAGCAGCCGCGGUAAUACGUAGGGAGCAAGCGUUGUCCGGAUUUAUUGGGCGUAAAGAGCUCGUAGGUGGUUCGGUAAGUCGGGUGUGAAAAAUCUGGGCUCAACCCAGUGGAGCACCCGAUACUGCUGUGACUUGAGUACGGUAGAGGAGUGUGGAAUUCCUAGUGUAGCGGUGAAAUGCGCAGAUAUUAGGAGGAACACCAACGGCGAAGGCAGCACUCUGGGCCGGUACUGACACUGAGGAGCGAAAGCAUGGGGAGCAAACA